AGUGGGGAAUAUUGGACAAUGGGCGCAAGCCUGAUCCAGCCAUGCCGCGUGAGUGAUGAAGGCCUUCGGGUUGUAAAGCUCUUUUGUCCGGGAAGAUAAUGACUGUACCGGAAGAAUAAGCCCCGGCAAACUUCGUGCCAGCAGCCGCGGUAAUACGAAGGGGGCUAGCGUUGUUCGGAAUCACUGGGCGUAAAGCGCACGUAGGCGGCUUGUUAAGUCAGAGGUGAAAGCCUGGAGCUCAACUCCAGAACUGCCUUUGAUACUGGCAAGCUCGAGGAUGGCAGAGGUUGGUGGAACUCCGAGUGUAGAGGUGAAAUUCGUAGAUAUUCGGAAGAACACCAGUGGCGAAGGCGGCCAACUGGGCCAUUACUGACGCUGAGGUGCGAAAGCGUGGGGAGCAAA
RNAcentral lists this ribosomal RNA (402 nucleotides) under uncultured Neomegalonema sp. RNAcentral describes it as "bacterial SSU rRNA". It matches the Rfam family "Bacterial small subunit ribosomal RNA", at positions 353 to 772 of the family's 1533-position model. The record is from RNAcentral. Lineage: Bacteria; Pseudomonadati; Pseudomonadota; Alphaproteobacteria; Rhodobacterales; Neomegalonemataceae.